GUUGGGGCUCCAGCUGACCACUGACAGCUGGGACAGACCUGGAUCCCAGCCGUCCCAGCUUUUGAGAGGCCGAGGUAGAUGGAACCCUGUGAGUUUGAGGCCAUCCUGGUCUAUACAGCAAGCUCCAGGCCAGACAGAGACACAUAUUGAGACACUGUCUCGAUAGACGCUGGCCGUUGAAGAAGUUCUCCGACCUGAGGAGAAUAAGUUGGGUACUCAGCCUUAGAUAGGCUAUCUAUUUUAACCGCACUCCACACAAAACUCAGAGAACUAUGGAAGACGAGGUGGAAAGAAAGAGGUGGAGAAUGCGAGGACUGCCGUCAACUGCGUCAACUACCGUCUUCUUGAUAUGGCGCCACAGUUAUGGUUACCACAGGAUCAAUCCGGAAAGGACUGAAGAAAUAGCCCAGGACUUACGAGCACUUGCUAAUCUUGCAGAGGACCCAGGUUCGAUUCUCAGUACCCACACGAAGACUCACAACCAUCUGUAGCCUGAGUCCCACAGGAUCCUACUCCCCCUUCUGACCUCCAUGAGCACCAGGCAAGCACACGGUGAACAUGUGUAUAGGCAAAACAAUCAUACUCAAAAUAAAA
Long non-coding RNA from Apodemus sylvaticus (European woodmouse), 594 nucleotides. RefSeq lists it as uncharacterized. NCBI's taxonomy places the organism in Eukaryota, Metazoa, Chordata, Mammalia, Rodentia, Muridae. The record is from RefSeq and is a predicted model, not a curated record. The transcript has 4 exons.